ACUCCCUACGGGGCGCAGCAGUGGGGAAUAUUGCACAAUGGGGGAAACCCUGAUGCAGCGACGCCGCGUGAGUGAAGAAGUAUCUCGGUACGUAAAGCUCUAUCAGCAGGGAAGAAAAAAAGUCUUUGGCUUUGGACGGUACCUGACUAAGAAGCCCCGGCUAACUACGUGCCAGCAGCCGCGGUAAUACGUAGGGGGCAAGCGUUAUCCGGAUUUAUUGGGUUUAAAGGGUGCGCAGGCGGAAGAUCAAGUCAGCGGUAAAAUUGAGAGGCUCAACCUCUUCGAGCCGUUGAAACUGGUUUUCU
This 305-nucleotide ribosomal RNA is filed under the name uncultured bacterium. RNAcentral's name for it is "bacterial SSU rRNA". It matches the Rfam family "Bacterial small subunit ribosomal RNA", at positions 334 to 642 of the family's 1533-position model. The record is from RNAcentral.